GACUAUGGGGCGAGCCUGACGCAGCGACGCCGCGUGGGGGAUGAAGCUUUUCGGAGUGUAAACCCCUUUCGACCCGGACGAAAGCCCGCAAGGGCCUGACGGUACGGGUAUAAGAAGCCCCGGCUAACUACGUGCCAGCAGCCGCGGUAAAACGUAGGGGGCCAGCGUUGCUCGGAAUUACUGGGCGUAAAGGGUCUGUAGGCGGUGCGGCAAGUCGGAAGUGAAAUCUGAGGGCUCAACCCUUAGACUGCUCCCGAAACUGCCGUGCUAGAGUGCGAGAGAGGCGGGUGGAAUUGCAGGUGUAGCGGUGAAAUGCGUAGAUAUCUGCAGGAACAUCCGAGGCGAAAGCGGCCCGCUGGAUCGCAACUGACGCUGAGAGACGAAAGCUAGGGGAGCAAACAGGAUUAGAUACCCUGGUAGA
RNAcentral lists this ribosomal RNA (421 nucleotides) under uncultured bacterium. RNAcentral's name for it is "bacterial SSU rRNA". It matches the Rfam family "Bacterial small subunit ribosomal RNA", at positions 368 to 794 of the family's 1533-position model. The record is from RNAcentral.